This 1865-nucleotide long non-coding RNA is filed under the name Heterocephalus glaber (naked mole-rat). RNAcentral describes it as "lncRNA (ENSHGLG00000033350.1)". Lineage: Eukaryota; Metazoa; Chordata; Mammalia; Rodentia; Bathyergidae. The record is from RNAcentral.
UGGACUCCUCAGAUCUACACUGCAUAGCUGGUGUGCAAUGUCAGGAGCUAAAGCAGGCCUGCAAAGGGAUGCCAGGGAUUCAGCCCAAAACAUAAAGCCAGGUAUGUGACAAUAUGUGGGUAGAAAAGAGGCAUGAGGACAUGAGGAACUACAAGUGUGGGUACUCAGGGCAGGGGCACAAGGGGUAGGGAGCCAGGGCUGGGCUCCCUGUGUGCAACAGUCUUCUGGAGCAGGUGGAUUGGGAGGGGCUUUCUGAAAAGGUGUUGACCCUGGAUCCUGCAGUCCACAUUUUACACUGGGUGAGCAGUCAAGUAAGUGACUAAGGUGCAGAGGGAAAGGCCACACGGGAAGCCCAAAGCAUAAAGCCAGUGGCAUAUGGGAGGUUGGUAAGGCAGCCAGGGUAGUGGCCAGUCUGGGAGGGGACAGUGUGCCAGGGCACCCUCAGGACAAGGGGACUCCAGCAUGAUGUAUAGGAGCAGCUGGAGGAGGCCAGGUGCCUUAGGUCAGGCACUUCACCAUGAAAUAAUGAGGUGAAGGUUUGAGUGAGGUGAGCAUAUUCAAGGGCCAAAGAAGCUCUGGUGCCUAACAUGAAGCCAGGUGUUUAAAGGAAGGUAGGUAAGGCAUGGCUCUGAGGGCAGGAGGAGCUCAGAGAAGGGCCAAUUUGGACAUGGUGCUGGAGGAAGAGGGCAUGUACAGGUGGUUUGGCCCAGGGUCAACACCCACAGUCAUUAGGCUUGGAUCAUUUAGGCUGAGUCCUUAAUGAAUAGGGUCAGGAAGAAAGUAAACCUGGUAGCUAAAGCUAGGUUUUAGGUUAAAAACCUCAAGGUAAGGCUGGAUGGAUAAAGUUAGCAGGGAAAGUCCAGGUAGUAAGGGGAUGGGCAAAGCUGUGUGGGUAAAACUCGAGUCCAGCUGAGUCAGGACAGGAGGGUGAUGAGGUCAGGUGGGUGUGGGUAGCAGGUCAAGGCUCAAUCCAUAGGAAGGCGGGAGUAAGCAGUCAGGAGUUACAGCCAGGUAGUUCCAGGACAGUGAGUUCAGGCCGUCAUGGCUGGAGCUUGAGAGAUGUGAGUGAAACCUAAGCAGUCACAGCUCAGAGCAGCGUGUCCUCUGCCCAGCUCCCUCGCGUUAACCUUCGGUCUCCCCCAGUUGUCCUGACACAGGAAGAGCUCCCAGCAGAGCACAGGAUGUACUCCAGGUCCCCUUAGUGCCCUCUGUGUCAUCCCCUUCACGGUCCAGUGGAGUGAGGCGGGACACAGCCACCUCACUGGGGCUGCAGCAGCGGUCAGGACGGCUCCCCUUCUCACCUGCUCGCUUGUUCAGAGUCAAGGUCACGCUGUCCCCAGGUCUUCAGGAGUCACUGAUGCUCCUGGCUCUCUGGGGCGAGCCUCACUUUGUAACUUGCGCAGGGUGGCUCUCAGGAGUGAGGUCGCCAGGGACUUCCUUGUGUACAGUGCUCCAUCACCGCUAGAAGGAAUGGAGGAAGAGACUUGGGAAAAUGCUCAGGGCCAGGGUCUGCAGGUGGAGGCCUCGGCUACCUGUGGUGGAAAAUGGCUUUCUCUUGGUCGUGGAGAGGGGCUGGGGUGGGGGCUGCGCCUCUGCCAGCAGCAGCAGGGCCCAGAGGAAGACGGGGUGGCUCAGGGUCUGCUUUCUGCCCAUGCUGAAUCCCACCUCAGUGGAACUCCAGCAGCACGGGCCCUGUGACAGAAGGACAGGGGCUGGGAUGUGGGCCACUCAAAUGGCCCACGACAGAGAAAUCAUGGAAGUCCUCUUUGGUGAUCAAAAAUAGAGUGAAUGCUGCUGCUGCGAGCCACCCAGUGGAAAGGCAGACUGGAACAUGAUGGUGUGUCCUCGUCCACCUUGUCCACCAG